RNAcentral lists this long non-coding RNA (845 nucleotides) under Canis lupus familiaris (dog). Its description in RNAcentral is "lncRNA (ENSCAFG00845004403.1)". The record is from RNAcentral. Lineage: Eukaryota; Metazoa; Chordata; Mammalia; Carnivora; Canidae.
AAGAAACUCCAUCAAGCAUCAUUAUCCAUCUAGGCAACAUCUAGGCAACUGUGGUUAUUCAUGCUUUUUAUGUCUCCAGUCUCUUAGACUGUACUUCCCACUCAUUACCAUUGCAAGUUUCUGCUAUAUCUGCUUUCCUUAGACGUCUGAGGCAUAUACAUCAUAGCUACAUGAAUAGCAUGAAUAAUGUUCCCCCAUUAUGAGGACAGGGGGCCUGCAGCUAUUGGCUGGUAAUGCUCUGGGAGCCCAUGGUAGCACAGAAGGACUGAACUUUCCAAAGUAGCCUGAAAACUUGGUCUUGCCAUUUGGUGCACCCAGCAGUCUUCUGAUGGAGAAGGCUUCCAGGAUGAGGACUGAGUGGAGAAGACCAUGUGUUAAUGUAUUCUAAAUAUGAAGGUACAUGCCUCUGGGAAAGCAGAGACCAUGAAUGAAAGGAAUAACUUGGCCUACAGCUUAGCAACUGCCACCAUCAUUAACUGCAAGAAUUAGGUCUUGCCUCAUUAACUGCUGAUUGAAGCUCUGCUUGGCCCUCUGGGAUACCUAACACCCCAGGCCUAUCACCAGAUGAACCCCUGGUUAGGCGCUUUUGCCUUCGCCUGUGUUGCUUUGCACAGCUCCUUGACCUCAACCUUCUUACGAAUGUUUAUCCUUCUACCAGACAAAGUACUCAGAUAUCCAUGAAGUCCCCCUCAUCUCACACUAUCGUUUCUCUCACCGGGUGCAAUCCGACUUUAAAGAAUUCAACACAUACUGGUCUUUAGAGAACUGUCAGCAAUGACAGCAACCAGGGACGCUGACAUGUCUUAUUGUUUACAAAGGAUGAGCACAACAAGGCCUCUCGGAUG